RNAcentral lists this ribosomal RNA (253 nucleotides) under uncultured bacterium. RNAcentral describes it as "partial 16S ribosomal RNA". It matches the Rfam family "Bacterial small subunit ribosomal RNA", at positions 524 to 776 of the family's 1533-position model. The record is from RNAcentral.
UACGAAGGGGACUAGCGUUGUUCGGAAUUACUGGGCGUAAAGCGCACGUAGGCGGAUCUGUAAGUCAGGGGUGAAAUCCCGGGGCUCAACCUCGGAACUGCCUUUGAUACUGCAAAUCUCGAGUCCGAUAGAGGUGGGUGGAAUUCCUAGUGUAGAGGUGAAAUUCGUAGAUAUUAGGAAGAACACCGGUGGCGAAGGCGGCCCACUGGAUCGGUACUGACGCUGAGGUGCGAAAGCGUGGGGAGCAAACAGG